Molecule: long non-coding RNA, 644 nt
Organism: Poecilia latipinna (sailfin molly)
Lineage: Eukaryota; Metazoa; Chordata; Actinopteri; Cyprinodontiformes; Poeciliidae
Exons: 4
Source: RefSeq, a predicted model, not a curated record
GGCACCCUUUAAGAAACAAAAUACACUUUAGACCUUUGUGUGUACAAUCGUGUAACUUUCCCAAGAGUGAGAGCAUUGUAGAAAAGAGAAGCCUGAGUCCUGAAGCUUGAUGCUGGAAAUCACUUGGUAAUAGAAUGAUUUACAUUGAUUCAAAGCUGCACCGCUGAGGUUCCAGCAAGGGGACAUUUUGGAUGCAAGCCAAAUGAAAAAAAAAAAAAAACAUUCACUGCAAACGAGAUGUUCCUGGCAGGAGGUGACCUCUGUCCAGUGGCAGACAGCCUGCUUCAGUGGCCACACAAACGUGGGGACCAAAAGAGAAACUCAAAGUCUGCUCAAAGUCAGAAUUAGGUUACAGUAACUUCCAGAAAAAGAAAAAAAAAAGCUGAAGAGGAACAGCUGUAAUAAAUGCCAUGCAACCAUAAUGUUUAGCUUCCUCUCAGGCUCCAUUUUUGUUCUCCUGUUGAGAACAGUCCUCAAACCAAACACUCCCUCAAGCUACAGCUGUAGUGACAUGCAAUAAUCUCACAUCAGCAAUCAGACGUUUCCCUAAAACAGUAAGAAAAACAACCUCAUGCAUGUACUGAUGUUCUGAUCCACAUAAAUCAGAACACACUGUGGAACUGGGCAAAUGAAUCAAAAAGCAG